GCUGGCGGCAGGCCUAACACAUGCAAGUCGAGCGCACUCUUCGGAGUGAGCGGCGGACGGGUUAGUAACGCGUGGGAACGUACCCAGAUCUAAGGAAUAGCCACUGGAAACGGUGAGUAAUACCUUAUACGCCCUUCGGGGGAAAGAUUUAUCGGAUUUGGAUCGGCCCGCGUUAGAUUAGGUAGUUGGUGGGGUAAUGGCCUACCAAGCCUACGAUCUAUAGCUGGUUUUAGAGGAUGAUCAGCAACACUGGGACUGAGACACGGCCCAGACUCCUACGGGAGGCAGCAGUGGGGAAUCUUAGACAAUGGGCGCAAGCCUGAUCUAGCCAUGCCGCGUGAGUGAUGAAGGCCUUAGGGUCGUAAAGCUCUUUCGCCUGUGAUGAUAAUGACAGUAGCAGGUAAAGAAACCCCGGCUAACUCCGUGCCAGCAGCCGCGGUAAUACGGAGGGGGUUAGCGUUGUUCGGAAUUACUGGGCGUAAAGCGCACGUAGGCGGAUUAGAAAGUUAGGGGUGAAAUCCCGGGGUUCAACCUCGGAACUGCCUCUAAAACUCCUAGUCUAGAGUUCGAGAGAGGUGAGUGGAAUUCCAAGUGUAGAGGUGAAAUUCGUAGAUAUUUGGAGGAACACCAGUGGCGAAGGCGGCUCACUGGCUCGAUACUGACGCUGAGGUGCGAAAGUGUGGGGAGCAAACAGGAUUAGAUACCCUGGUAGUCCACACCGUAAACGAUGAAUGCCAGUCGUCGGCAAGUAUACUUGUCGGUGACACACCUAACGGAUUAAGC
This 783-nucleotide ribosomal RNA is filed under the name uncultured Roseobacter sp. RNAcentral describes it as "bacterial SSU rRNA". It matches the Rfam family "Bacterial small subunit ribosomal RNA", at positions 35 to 865 of the family's 1533-position model. The record is from RNAcentral. Lineage: Bacteria; Pseudomonadati; Pseudomonadota; Alphaproteobacteria; Rhodobacterales; Roseobacteraceae.